CCGAUCUCUCUUUCGUCUCCCUUCUCUAUAUCUCUCAGUGUAUUUCUGUGUAGGGGUUUUGAAGAAGAAGGUUUUUGUGUUUUAGUAAGGAUAAAAAAUGGAAUAUGCUGGUUUCUCUCUCUGUGUCUGUGGCGAAGAAGAAAACCAAAAGAUGGAGAACUCCUUCCUUUUCCUCCUGUUUUCCUUUGUUCCUUUCACGGUGUAUGUAGUCUUAAGAGUGUGAGAGUGAUGAUGGAUAAUUGAUGAGUGCAAAUCCUGAGGUUUCUGUGAGUGGGUGUAACGGAUGAGAGUAUGGGUGUGUCGAUGAAGAUCAGUGGAGAAGAAUGAUUGGUGUGUAGAAAAGAAGAGAGCUCGUGUAUUGCUCUCUUCUGUGAAUGAAGAAGAAGACCCCCCUUCUGUGUUGUGUCUAUUGUAUAUAUGGAAUCCGGUGGGGUCUGUGCUAAAUAAUGAAUAUUGUUAUUUCUGUGGUGGGUUUCACGGGUAAGGGGUAGGGGGUAGGGUAGGUAGGGUAGAGUGAUGGGGGCAUGGGGUAGUGAUGUGUUGUCCAAAAUUGAUAGGAGGAGUGGUUAAUUUUGUUACAAAAGAAUAAUUGGGGAUUAGGUUUGUUAGUGGGUUUGUUAUUUUUGUAUUUUUAUGGGAUAUAAUCAUACGGGUGAGGGCACGUUGUAAGACAGGGAUAAAAAUAUGUAACUCGGGUCUUCGGGAGGGACAAAAAUUAGGUGUCUACAGCUGAGGCGGAAAAAAAGAUAUCAAAUUUCUACCAAGAUAACUGGAAGUUCCAACUAAUCAGAAGCCUAAUAAACCUAAAAAAAGGAUAAAGGCCCAACAGAAAUUACUUAUUUUUCGAGACCCCAUUAUAAGUUCUAUCCUUAGAUGUUCUGAUCGCCAAGUCAUACUUUACCCAAUUGCAUUUUAUUGAAAUUGAGAUAAUACCCCAUAGAAAUUUGACUUUACUUUUUUGUUUCCGAAGUAACUCUCAUCAACUAGCGCUAGUUUGAGGUGAACUAGCACUAGUUUGAUGUCAACCUUUAGGAGUAAUUCAUCAAAUUGGUUAAAUCUAAAAUAAUAGCAUACUCUUUAUUUAAUACGAUCCCACUAUACAUAUCGAUAUACAUAGAGAUUAACCGACUAUAUUUCAGCCAUUCAGUGAUCUUGAUCUAUUUGAAAAUUUCUAGAAUGGAUAUAUCCAUAUAUCAUGUUUCUGCAGGCAUAAGAGUUUUUUCCUUUAUGUUUGGUAGAAAUCACAUAUUAUACUAUAUUUUAAUAAAUAGAUAUCCGUGUUAUGAUACAAGUCAACGUUUUCAAAAAAAAAAAUGAAUGAGAUUGGGUCCCAGCGGAUCUAAACAAUCUUAUUUUUUUGAACAUGAAUAAAUAAAGAAGCCAUUGCAAUUGCCGGAAAGACUAGGCCUACUAACGGCACAAAAAUAGAUGGAAGGUUCAAAUUUGUCAUAGAAGGGGUACCUCGAUUUACUAUAUUGUAUCUGUUAUUAUGUUAUUAUAUAAAUAAAGAUAUCUUGUAAUAAUUAAAUAAUUAUAAUUAAAUUAAGAAUUUGAAUUCUAAUUAGAUAAUAUUUAUUAUUAAUAGAAUUUGAAGAGUUUGAAAUUCUUAGUAUAGAUCGAAGUAUCUAUAUAUCUAAAUUUAAUUGAGUACGUAUAAUAAGAAUAAGUGCAAAGAAUGUAGAACUAAAUAUAUGGACUUAUUCAUCUAUUACAUGAGAAAGAUAUGUAUCAUAAUAAACUUUAUUAUUGUUCUUCAUUUCUUUGUCUUUUGUUCUUGUCUACUAAUUUUCUAAAAAUAGAUAAAGAGGUUAUCGAAAGAUUCGUUCGAAUCCGACCCAACAUGAAUUUUUAGCUAAAAUGAUUUUUAGGGAGAUAGAGAAAGAUACAAAACUCUAUUAUCUAUAUUUCAAUUUCAAAUUAUAUACCUAAGACAAAAAGAAAUUUAUUUUAUUUUCCUAAUUUCACAAAAGGAAGGACUCACUCUUGGUGAUAAAGGCUUCUUGAUUUGUAAUCAGGAAUAUAGGUCAAAAAAGAGUUAUCCUCAAAUGUAGUUUUUAUUCUUUCUACAAUUAGAUCUUUUAUCACCAAAGAAAGGGUCAUUAUUAUCUUAUUUACUAUUAUCUUAUUUACUUUGAUUCCGAUAAACUAACUACUUUUUUGCUACAAAUAUAAAUAAAAUAAAUAAUGGCCUUAGUGCUCUACUUGAUUUUGCUUGACUUUUGAUUCAAAGAAAAAAAGGCGUAGAGCUUAAAUAACUCACUCAGAACACUUUUUAAAAGAUUACGUGGUACAAUUAGGUCGAAUAAACCCUUCUGGAAUAAGUAUUCAGCUACUUGUGAACCUUCGGGUACUGUUUUAUUCAAUGUUUGUUCAAUUACUCUUUUACCUGCAAAUGCAAUGUAGGCAUUGGGUUCGGCAAUAAUGAUAUCCCCCAACAUACCAAAACUAGCUGUCACUCCACCAGUUGUCGGAGAUGUAAGGAUUGAUACAUAAAAUAAUUUUUUAUUUAAUAAAUUUAAUUGGCAGCAUGUUCAAUUAAAUGGGUGAUUUUUUCUUCGACUACGGAUCCCAGACUACCCCCAUAAACUAAAAAUCCAUAACCCCAAUUGCUACGUGAAUGCCGUUUAGUUGGCCUAUGCCUGUUUGAAUAGCCUCGAUUAAUUCUGUCUUUCUUUGAUAAGAAUCAAUACGAUCUUUAUAAGGCUCCUCUUCCGAAUGAAAUUCAAUGGGAUCCAAAGAGACGAUGUCUUCAUCCAUAGGAUCCCAAGUACCCGGAUCGACCAAAAGUUCAAUUCUAUCCGAACUACUCAUUUUCAAAUGAUAUCCACAUUGUUCACAAAUAUUCAUUUUUGAUUUUAAAAAUUUCUUAUAAUUUAAUCCAUAACAAUUCUCGCAUUGAACCCACAAAUGCCUGUACUUGUUAGUUACCUCGAGAUCAUUAGAACUUUCUUUUAUAGUUAAAUCACUGCCCUUAGAACUUUCUGUUAUAGUUAAAUCACUGCCCUUUAUACUAGUUUGUAUACUGGAACCCUCGUUUUCACUACUAUUUUUACUUUCACCACCUCAAACGGCACUAUAAAUAUAACUGACACUGUAAUUCUCACUACCACUUAUAAUGGAAGUAUCUAUACAGAUUUAAGAUUGAAGAUAAUUAUCAAUGCAACUAUUAAUGUGAUUAUUCCAACUAUAUUGAGUAUCAUACAUGUAAGAAUUGUAGUAGGGAUCUUCGCCCCUAAAUCCAUUAUUCAGAUAACUCGAGUUUCGAUAACUAUAAAAAGAAAUUUCUAGUUCACUAAGAAAAGAAUGAUCGUUGUCAAUCUCAAAAAUCUGAUUUUCAAUAUCAAAAUAGAUGGAAUAACUGUCUCCAUUCCUAUCACUAACUACAAAAGUGUCAUCAGAGAUGAAAUUUCGAAUGUCUUUAACGCCGAAUAAAUAAUCAAUAUUACCGCAACUAGGAAUGUUUUUUACUUUUCGAUUUGGAUCUUCACUGGUAUUUUCAAUAGGAUCAAGACUACCCAUUGAUUUAUUUAGCCCACACCUGCGUUCGAACUCCUUCGUAAACAACAUCGAAUUAAAUCACUAUCUUUUCAUCGAGUUUCCGUAGAGUUUUCUUGCCCCCUAUUUGCAUGAAAAUACAAUAGAUGAAUAGUCAUUUUCUAUAAAAUUAUUUAUUUGAAUAUCUUAUUUCCUAUCAGACUAAGCAUAGAAAUCUAAUCACUAGGAUUAUUAGUGAGUAUCGAAAAAAAGUUCUGAAUCUGGGGGAACACUUCACUAUAUAUUAAUAUGUCGGAACCCCCUUUUAUUAUUACAAAUAAUAUAAAUUUAUUGUUAAAAUUAUUAAAAAUAAUAUAAAUAUAAUAAUAUAAUUUUUUAUAAAGGGCGGCUUCUCCUAUAUCGUGUCAAAUUCGCAUUCAAGAUUUUCUUCCCUAAAAUAUUUUCCUAAUUAUCAACAAUUAAAUCAUCCUGCUUCCUGAUUUUUUUCUUCCAUUAAUACUUAAAUCACCUUCCUUCCUGAUUUUUUCUCCUCCAUUACUGCAUGCAACUUUUUUUUUUCCCUCCUAAAAUCUCUCCCAUUUUUUUUAAAAAAAAUCUAUUGAUACAUAUAUAAAUUUAUUUAGUUAUUCAUACAUGUUUAUUUUUUUUAAUGGUGAUUCAUAUGAAUGAUAAAUAUGAUAUCAUUAUAUGGGUAUUAUGGUGAUUCAUACGAUAGAUAUAUUUUGNNNNNNNNNNNNNNNNNNNNNNNNNNNNNNNNNNNNNNNNNNNNNNNNNNNNNNNNNNNNNNNNNNNNNNNNNNNNNNNNNNNNNNNNNNNNNNNNNNNNNNNNNNNNNNNNNNNNNNNNNNNNNNCAGUGUAGUCAGUGUAGGAAACAAAAGUAAUAAUAUUAAAAAAAAGACUAAAAGCAUAAUUGAAACAUAAUUAAAAUUAAAUCUAAAAAAAACAGACUAAAAUUAAAGAGGAAAAAAGAGAAAAAAGACCAAAAAAAAACAUAUUUUUUAUAAUUAAAGACGGAAAAAAAAAACAUAAUUAAAAUGCCUAAAUUAAAUCUAAAAAAAAAGAAAAAUUAGAUAUCUUUCCUUAAAUUAAAGAAUACAAUGAAUAAAAGAGAAUCUAUUAUUUUCUUAAAUAAAUAUCUUGUUAGUUUCAAAUGUAUCACUUUUUUAUAUGUAUCACCAUAUAACAUAUGUAUCACCAUUUUAAAAAACUGGGAUAAAAUGUAAUUAAUAAAAUAGUCAGAAUUUUAUGUAAUAUCACUUAAAGAUUCAGGGAUUUAUGUAAGUUAUCCUUUAUUUAAUAAGAGAAAAAUGUAUUUUUACGUCUGGGAAGGGGGAGAGGGGGGAGGGGGUCGCUUUGCAGGCCCAAUCACACGGCCCCAGCUAUGCCUUGCGGGCCAAAUCGCGCAGCAUCAGUCGUGCCUCGCUCGUGCUCGUCCAAUCGCUCACCCUGGACAGCGCCUCAUUAAAAUACCCAUAACUUUUUCCUUCGGACUCGAAUUGACGAAUAGCCAGUUGCUUUGGAAAGAAGGCUCAAAGACCUUUAAUUUAGUAUAUAGUAAGCCACUUAACUUAUUAUAUUCUAGGAGUAAUGGUCGUUGAAAGUUGACCCAAGUAAGAAUUUCUACUAAAACUCAAUCGAUAGGAAAGUUCGCAACUCAACUUUGAGCUAGGAGAUUUCUAUGACCUCAAUCCGACUACAAAGAUGUCCCCUCCCUAAGGAAUUGAUAAGAAGUUAAUAUUGAUACUUAUAUCAAAAUAGAAAUCAUUAAAUUUGGGUCUAUACUUGUAUGAAGGACGGUUCAAAUUUUAGCCCGAACAUGUAGGGUGUUACAGUAUCAUUAACACAAAAAAGCAUUUUGAUACGUCAUUUUUGUUAUAUUUUCACGAGACAUUCAUUCCAAUACAUAAUUCUUAUGUAUCAAUAACACAGGUCUUAUCCGAUACAUAAAUCGUAUGUAUCAGUAACGCGAAAAAGCACUCUGAUAUAUAAUUUUUGUCAUACUUUCAAACAUAUACAUCAUUACAGCGUAUCUAAUUUGAAUAAACCUCAAGUAUCUCGAUUUCGUCAUCGUUAUCAUUAGUCGUAGAUCUAGCAACAACGAAUGAAGAGAGAAAAAGUUUUUAAAAAAUAUAAUUUAGAGACAAAAAUACUAUAACAAAGGAUAGAUCGAGACAAAAUUAGCAAUAGAAAAUUAUUUGGAUGACGAUGAAAAGUUAAAAAAAGAAGAAGCUAAAUACGAACUAUGAAAGGAUAAAAUGUAAAAAAUAUAGAAUUGAAGAAAAAUUAUCCGAAUAAAACUUUGUUGUUUAAUAAAAGCAAGAAAAAAAUUGAAUCCUUAAAUACAUAUUUGAAUUGUAUUAAAAAAAAAUUAUGUAUUAACCUCUUGAUUUAUGAAACUUUUUUUUGAGAAUUCUUAUUUUCUUAAAAACAUAAAAACUAUAAAAUUUAAGGACUAAUGAUAAAUUAGAUCAAGAAAUUUUUAGAAUAUUGAGCGUUCAAUAUUUUUAAAAAUUAUAUCAAGUUCUCUAGUGUGUAAAUAAAGUGCCCUUGCAAUACCCAAGGGACUAAAACACAAACAUCACAACUUAAUAAUUAUUUUUACUGUUGUUUUUUAGUUGUAAUGUUUUAUUUCAUCGAAAUUCAAUUUAACUAAUUUUUAAAGUUAAAUUAUAUUAGAUUAAUUCAAUACUUUUAAAUUAAAAUUUACAUAGUUAAAAAUUAUAUAAAAAAUUAUAUAAAUUACAAUUUAUUCAUAAAUACAUUUUAAAAUGUUAAUCAAAAUUUGUAUUAUUAGACUUUAAAAAAAAAAAAAAAAAAAAAAACUAUGUCAAUUGAAAAGUAAUGGAGGGAGUUAUUGACAAUGACAGCUGAGUACUACUCUUACACCUCCUUAUUAAAUUUAGUAAUUAUGAGGCGGUUGUGAAAAGAAUCCGUUGGAUUUGGAAUGAUAAUAUUGGUAACUAACGGAUCUGACCCGACCCAUUUAAUUUUAUUGUGCAAAAAUUAUUUCUCACAGAGAAAAAUCGAGUCUUUGUUGUGUAAAAAUUGUUGCUCAGUGAGAAAAAUUCACUUUUUUUGUGCAGAAAUUGUUGUUUACAUAGAAAAAUGGUGUCUUUUUGAUAUACAAAAGUGCAAAAUCAAUUGUGAAAUUGUGAAAAAAUUAACACAUAAGCAACUACGCUACUGAAAUUGUAUGUACACAGUAAAAAACAGCAACUACAAAAAGAUUAACACGUAUGCAACUACGCUAGUGAAUUGUAUGUACAUGAAAAAAUCAAUAACAACAAAAAGAUUAACGCGUAAGCAACUACGCUAGUGAAAUUGUAUGUGCACGAAAAAAAUCAGCAACUACAAAAAGAUUAACGAAUAAAAAACUACACUACUGAAAUUAUAUGUGCACGAAAAAAAUCAGCAACUAGAAAAAAAUUAACGCGUAAGCAACUACGCUAGUGAAUUGUUUGUACACAAAAAAAAUCGGCAACUACAAAAAAAUUGGUAACUACAAAAAGAUUAACGCAUAUGCAACUACACUAGUGAAUUGUAUGUACACGAAAAAAAUAAACAACUGCAAAAAGAUUGAUGCGUAAGCCAAUACGCUAGUGAAUUGUAUGUACACGAAAAAAUUAGCAACUACAAAAAGAUUAACGCAUAUACAACUAUGCUAGUAAAUUGUAUCUACACAAGAAAUCAGCUACUAAAAAAGAUUAAUGCGUAAGCAACUAUGCUAGUAAAUUGUAUGUACAUGAAAAAAAUCAACAUCUACAAAAAGAUUAACGAGUAAGCAACUUCGAUAGUGAAUUGUAUGUCCAUGAAAAAAAUCAGCAACUACAAAAAGAUUAACACGUAUGCAAUUACGCUAGCGAAUUAUAUGUACAAGAAAAAAAAUCAGCAACUACAAAAAGAUUAACGUAUAAGCAACUAUGCAAGUGAGUUGUAUGUCCAUGAAAAAAAUCAGCAACUACAAAAAGAUUAACACGUAAGCAGCUACGCUAGUGAAUGGAAUGUACACGAAAAAAAUCAGCAACUACAAAAAGAUUAACACGUAAGCAACUACGCUAAUGAAAUUGUAUGUAUACUCAAAAUUCAACAACUACAAAAAGAUUAACACGUAAGCAACUACGUUAGUGAAAUUGUAUGUACACGAAAAAAAUGAGCAACUACAAAAAAAAGUUAACACAUUUGAGAACAAGAGGAUCUCUAUCUCAAAAUGUCUGUAAACUCACUACAGAACUUGUUAAGCAUAUGCCAAUUGUUUGAUAUUUGGAUGUGGUUGCAUACAAAAAGAUGAAGAGAGUUAAGUUAGUCUUAGCAUUAUAAUGAUAACAUGGUAAGAACAACUCCUGAGUUGACCCAAAAAAACCACCAACCAUUGUUGAAAAUGUCACAAUCUCUGGCUUCAUCAUAUCUGGAACUUUAAACCGUAUAAAAGCACCCUUGCUAUAAGGGGUGGCUCAGGGUGAAACAAGUAAAUUCGUUUCAGGACUCCAAAAUUUUGACGCCUAAAAAACUUUUAAUUAUUAAGUUUAUAAUUUUCUUUUCUUUUCGACGUCUUGAAUAUAGUUUUAAAAAAUGUACAAAAUCAAUAUAUAAAUAAAAUAACUAUCAUCAUUUAAUAGAAAUAUUUUAAAACUUUGAACUAAACUAAUCAAAUCUCUAAAGUAAUAAAUAAUAAUUUUACAAUAAUACCCAAGGUAAAUGUAUUGAAACACAUGGUUAACAUCUUUUUAACUUGAAUCAAUCCUUGCUGUUAUAAAUAAUAAUAUUACUAUGUGAAAUAUCAUAGUAUACUAAAACACAACAAUUAUGAAAAAACAAAAAAAAGGUCAUAUGAAUUUUUAAUUAUUACGUAUAUGCAUAUGUAUAUUUUAACACUUUAAAUUAAAAUUUAGUUUUAAGUUACUAAUUUUAUUGAGACGCCUCACUUGUUAACAUGCUGCAACAUACAAAAUAGUCGCAUUUCAUCAUAUUAAAUAAAUCAUUUACAUCCGCAUCAAGGAAACUUCAUAUAGAAUACAACUGGCCCAGCGGAUUUGAUCAUAAAUAUUUUUUUGACCCUUUUAAAAAUACUAGAUGUCGGGGAUAUUUGUUAUUUUUUAGUCUCAAUUUAUGUGACAUAAAUAAAAUGUAGAUAAUCAAUCAUAUUUUUAGUAUGCUUUGAAUAUUCUAAAUUGUUACCUAUCGUAAUUUAUACUAUUUUUUAUGUAAUUUUUAAAUAAUACAUGUUACUCUCCUUGUUCAAACUUUUGUAGUAUCGAUAGCCAAUUAUACUUUAAAAAUAAUUUAACUUUUUUAAUUAUUGAGAUUUAUAAUACUUUUUUUUUUAUUUCAAAUUAAGUAGCACUAGUAAUAAUUUCUGUAGUCAACCAAAUACUUUAUAUCCUUACAAUUUUUUAAAUUAUUAAUUAUUAUGAUUUGUAAUACCUUUUAAAGUAUUUUUUUGAAAUAUAUAACAAAUUAUUUUUUUAGACACUUUAAACUGUCAACUAGUAUAAUUUGUAAUGAUUUUUAUAUGAUUUUCGAAAAAUACAUGUUACUCUCCUUGUCUUAACUUUUGUGGCAUUGAUAUUCAAUUAUAUUUUUAACUAUUCUAAUUUAAAUGGCAUUGAUAUAAUUUUGAGAGUUGAUUAAAUAUUUUAUAUCUCUUAAAUUUGUUAAUUAUUAUGAUCUAUAGUAUUUUUACGUAUUUUUAAAAAUAUAUAGUAGUUUUUUUAGAUAUUUUAAUUUGUUAAAUGUUGUAAUUUAUAAUAAAUUUUAUGUAAAUUUUAAUAAUAUAUGUUACUCUCCUUGUUCCAAAUUUUGUGGCAUUGAUUGUCAAUUAUAUUUUAUAAAUAAUUUAAGUUUUUAAUUACUGUGAUCUAUAAUAUUUUUUCUUCUAUUUCAAUUUAAGUGGAAAUGAUAAAAUUUUAAAAAUCAGCCAAAUAUUUAUAUUUUUUAAAUUUUUAAUUUAUUAAUUAUUGUGAUUUACAGAUUUUUUUUUUUGAAAUAUAUAACCGAUUAAAAAAAUUAAGAUAAAAAAAUUAAAAUAGAUGAAAAAAUGAAGGCAGAGAAAACGACUAAUGAAGUUGUGCCAAAAAGAUAUAUCGACCUCUAAACUUUUUUAGUUGUUAAUUAUUGUGAUGUAUAGUAUUUUUUACGUAUUUUUGAGAAAUAUUUGGCAGAUUAAUUUUUUUUAGAUAUUUUAAAAUGUUAACUAUUUAUCUCUUUUAAUACUUUUUAUUAUACUCUUCUAUCCAAAAUUUUCUAGCAUUUAUAGUAAAUUAUAUUUUUUAAAUAAUUUUUUUUAUUAUUGUAAUUUAUAAUAUUUUUUCUUCUAUUUUAAUUUAAGUGGCACAAUUCUUAGAUGACCAUAAUAAUUAAUAAGGGGUGAUAUAAUAAAAUUAUGAUUGAAGCAGCGAAGUAGACAUGUAUUGAAUGAAUUAUAAUAACUAAUUAGAAGUGAUAUAACAAAAUUAAUAUAAAAAUACUUUUGAAAAAAAUUAAGUGGAUCUCAUAUAAAACGUCAAGUUAAUUUAAUAUUAAAUAUUAUUAAUUUUUUAAAACUUAGAUGACUUUAAAAUAAUUUUUUAAUAUUAAUUUUUAAUACUUAAAUGACUCAUAAUAAUUAAUUAGGGGUGAUAUAGUAAAAUUACGUCGAACCAACUAAAACAGACAUGUCAAAAAUGUUUGUUUUAUUUUUUUAUUAACUAUUAUUAAUUUUAAAUACGUAAAUGACUUAUUAUAAUUAAUUAUAGGUGAUACAUUAAAAUUACGAUUGAAGCAGCUAAAAAAAAAUCUCAAAUAAUAAUAAGUGUAACUUUGAGGAACUUAGUAGUCAUUUUGAAAACUACCAUUUUAUUAAAUAUUAUUAAUAUUAUAAUAUUUUAAUAAAAUAAUUUAUAAUAAUUAAUUAGAAAUGAUAUAAUAAAAUCACGCUUGAAGCAUCUGAAACAAUCAGAACGAUCCAAAGCUGCUCAAUAUUGUCAUUCCUAUUAUAGAGUAAGAUGGUGGCUUGGGCACAUCUUUCGUUAAAAAAAGAAAAAGUCAAACUGUGUUUUGUACAGGUGCACACAGACAUGGUGAUUAAUAAAAAACUUUCAUUAUCGAAAAAGAAAAAUCAUAAAUGAAGCUAUAUACUGCCAACUGAUUCUGGCACAAUCUCUUCGGAAUUUCCUUAGGUACAACGUUAACGCUAAAUCUGACGGACAAGUCACAGAGCCGAAAACACUCUUAUGAUUUGUCGUCGUGCUGAAGCUCAUAGCCUUCGUCCUUAAUUUCAUGAGAUCAGAAGACUAACUCUGCAAGCACCCAUACAUCACGUACUAAAAACCAUCAAAAUGCUUAAACAAUAGAAUGGAAGAGAAAAAGAAAAAGAUCAUUACCCAAAUUAUUUUCUUCCCAGAUGUCCAACCCAAAGAUAAUAAGACCAACACCUCAUGUGUUUCGUCCUCUAUCGGGCCGAGACCGUGGGUCACUUCACAAUAAAUCGCACAACAUUAACCAUAAAGCAGACAAAACAACUUUGUUAUAGUAUUGUCACAUCCCUUUUUAACCAAAAAGAUAAUAUUGUAAAGUUUAAAAAAGAUUUUAUUAUUAAGUGACAAAAGAAAAUUAUUUUGAAAAGAAUUAAUUUUGCAAUUAAUUCAGAGUCGUCACUUGACAUAAAUUGAAUGUGUCUUUUUCAAAACGGUUUGACUUUAAAAUUGAUCCGUGAAUAGAGAUUCCGAUUAAGAAAUUCUAUUGACCGAGGGGAAGGUGUUAGGCAUCUCUCGAUCCCGUGGUUCUACCACGAUCGCUUCGUGGGGUAUAUCGGCUAGUACGAACGCUAUAAAUGUAUAAACCACAUAAAACACACAAUAAUCAAACAAACAAACACAAACAAAACAAAUCCCAAAAAUGUAGUGUCCAGUCCAAUUUAUUACAGACCAAAAUAAAAAGGUACUGAAAUGUAAACCUACGGUAACCUACACUAGUCCUAAACUACACUCCAAUGCUUUACCCUAUGCCUCGGGCCUUGAUCAAGAGUCUCCUUUGCGUACAUGAUACUUCGGGAUAUUCCCCGGUGAAUAAACACAAAUACCUCGGGGCAUUCCCCGACCAAAUGAUACAUUUGAUCCAAAAAGCAAUAAUACCAAGUCAUUCAACACAUAUUUCAAGCAUCCAAUAUUCCAUAAGUCCUGAAUUUGCCUACCCGAACCUAAACUUUGCCUAUCAAUUUUAAUCCAUCAUGAUAUUAUUGCCUUUAACAACAUCAAUACUCAUUCCGAAUUAAACAAUCAUCAAUGAAUCAAAACAAUCAAUAUUCACCUUUUUGCAGUGUUCAAUCCACGCCCCCAAUUUCAUUCUCAAUCAUACGAUUACUUCAUUUCGAUACAAAAUCAACUAAUCAAGUCUCGAUAAUUAUAGAAACUCUAAUAUACUUCAAAACGCAUCUCUAAAUCACAUCAUCAACCAUAUGAAUCACACAAUUAUAGCAACCAACACACCACAAAGAUUCAAACAUGUCAAGCAACAAAUCAUUUACAUUUACGUAAAAAUUAAAGGAAGAGAAGAUAAAAUUGGACUCCAAAUGCUUUUUCAAUGGAAAUAAUUCUUUCGACUUGAAUCGCGAUCGAAAUCUCAAAUCAAACCUCAAACCACCAACUCGAUAUGCCCUCUUAUUCCAUUUUUGUACCCGAAUAAAAAAGCAAUGACCAACCUGAGUCCAACUCAAGUUAUCGACGAGAAUUAAUAACCACGUUAACCCGAACCUAACUCGGAGCACCGUUAAGAGGUAUGUGUAUUGUCGCGAUGGAUUUUGGUCGCCGGUUUGAUUUUCUCCGAUGGGAUUGCUUCAACUGGUUUCAGGUGACGGGCGACAGGACGAUUUUCCGAUGGAGUUGGCCGAAAGAGAUGGAUGAUUCCAGAGAACUAUUCGCCAGAGAAUCUAACUUAAGAUGUUGUUUUUCUCCUCUGUUUUAUCUUUUUUUUUCACUCUCUUUCUUCCAUCUCCCUCUCUUAAAUUCUCAUUGUUCAAUCUCACCCUCUCUUUUUUGUUUUCACUCUUUAGUUUUUCUUGUUCUCAACUGGGUGUGUAUUGUUUAUGUUACUUGGAGUGUGAGUGAGAGAAUCUGUGAAGGUUUAUAUGUGUUGUGAGGUAUGAGCUUGGUAGUGUAUGUGUGGGGUUUUGUUUGAAUUGUGUAUGAGUGAAUACUGUGUGGGUGUAUGUGUGAUGAUGGAAGAUAUGUGUGUGCAAGAAUAGUUUGUGUUGUUGUGUUUUUGUUGUGUGUCAAUGGUGAAUAGUGUAGAAGAGAAGAAAAAUGGAGUCCCUGCUCCCUGUGUGCCUAUGUACUGGUGGGUAUUGUGAAUGGAAAAAGACGGUCCCCCUAUUUUAGUGGGUCCCAUGAGUAUUAUGUUUAUGUGAGGUGGUGUGUAUAUUGUGAGGAAACCGUGGGGUAGGGAGUUAGGGGUAUAGGGUGUGGGGUGUG
RNAcentral lists this long non-coding RNA (12938 nucleotides) under Capsicum annuum. Its description in RNAcentral is "long non-coding RNA (CANN_LNC005929)". Lineage: Eukaryota; Viridiplantae; Streptophyta; Magnoliopsida; Solanales; Solanaceae. The record is from RNAcentral.